This is a long non-coding RNA of Cercocebus atys (sooty mangabey), 2655 nucleotides long. RefSeq lists it as uncharacterized. The record is from RefSeq and is a predicted model, not a curated record. The transcript is spliced from 2 exons. Lineage: Eukaryota; Metazoa; Chordata; Mammalia; Primates; Cercopithecidae.
UGAGCCACCAUGCCCGGCCAGUGCUACUCUUAAAAAGGUAGCAGAUUCUAGUCUCUUCUUACUACCUCUGUUGCUCCCAGCCCAGACCCAGCCACCAUUUUCUCUUGCCUGGAUUAUUGUCAUAGGUCUGUUUCUGCCCUUUGGCGUAUUCUCAACACAGUGAGCCUUUUAAAACAUCAAUCAGAACACAUCACUCCUCUGCUCAGAACCCUCCCUAGUCUUCCUACCUCAGAGUAAAACGCAAGUUUUUACAAAACCCUAAAUUAUCAGCCCUAAUACCCCCACCCUACACACACACACACACCCACACACACACACCCCUCCACCACUAUUGGUCUGACUUAUUUUGGGGGUUAGUCUAAUUCACUCUGCUUCCUUCAGUUCUCAAGCAAAGAAUUUUUGCUGUUCUCUCAGGACUAUUAUAAAAAAUCUUUUUUAAAAAAAUUAGUUGAAAGAUCUACUUGGCUUUUAUUAGCAAUUCAUGAAUCGGGCAGCAUCCCAUCUACAGAUUUAGAACAGGUACUCUGAUGCACUGAGGUGGGGGGCGGGGCUUGUAGGCAGAAGAGGGCUGAAGAAGCAGAAAUGGAGCACAAAGAGGGAUGCUCGUUUCAAAGUGACUUUCCUGAUAGUGUUAAAACAGAGGGGUUUUCCUUAUCAUGCCUGCUCAGGUAAGCUGGUGCCCUUCUGAUUAUUUUCCUAUUUUUUAGAAAAUGGGCCCAUUUUAGAGUUAAGUUUAAUUAUAUAGCAAGCUAGCACAAGUGGCUCCAUUCUGGCUUGGUCUGGUCUGUUGGACCUAGUGCAAGAGCUCAGCCCAAAGCAAUGGCCUCCUAUAAGCUUCAUUACACCUGCUGUCCCCCAACCUGGAAUACUCUCCAUGCACAUGAUCACACACCAACCCUUCAGUCUCUGCUCAAAUGUCACCAUCUCAGUGAGUGCCCUAUUGUAAAUGUCAACAUGCACACACAGACAGACAGACACACACACACACACACACACACACACACACACACAUCCUAUCCCUUCACCCUGCUUUUUCUCCUCGGCAUUUCUUGCAAUGUGAUCUUACUUAUCUUGUGUCUGUCUGCCUCCAUGAAGACCAGAAUUGUGCCUGUUUUGUUCCCUGCUGUACCCCCAGUUUCUAGAAGAGUGUUUAUUAAUGUGUGUUGAGUUAAAUAUGUUGAUUGGUUGUCACUGAGGAGGCAAAACAACAGGCUGGUUCUUUCCUGGGACACUGCUAGUUCCCUUACAAAUAGACCUGGGCGCGUCCGUUCACCAGGUCCCCAGACAUGCCCAGACCUGCCUGAGGCCUGGCGAGCUCAGCUCCACUCAAACCAGAAAGCGCUGCUGGGGGUAAGCAGCAGCUGACAUCAUGUGAAAGAUUACUGCGGGGAGGAAGAUGGGCCCUGCGAAGAGAAGAGCCAUGGGCUGCGGGAACGCUGGGAGGACAGCAUUCCCAAGACACCCAGAUGAAAGGGGCUGGCCUGGGAGACAACAGAGAAAGAGUUGUGCCAGGAAAACUAGGGGAGCAGAGGGGUGGAGUAUGGCUGAUGGUGUCUCCUGCCCCAGGGAAGUCUGUAAGUAGAGCCCCGGAAAGCCCAUCUAAGUAGAAGCCUUCGCCCAGUUUCCAGGAAAUUGUGAGAGGAGAAGCCAGAGAGGAAAGAGUGGGAGCCCGAAUGGUUGGAGAAGUGGAUAAAGGGAGCAAAGACAACUUUCUCAACAAACUUUGCUGCAAAACAAUCUAUAUAGGCCAAGAGAGCGGGAUACACAGAGGACUUUUGUAAUUUGAAAGAGAUCUUCAUAUUCUUUUCAGGGAGGAAGAAGCUGAUGAAGAAGAGGUUGAAGGCACAGGUGAUGGAAGGAUACUCAAAGGAGUAAUAAUCCAGAGAAGGCAGGAGGAUGAGAGGCUUACCACCUGUGGACGGUUCAGUCUUAGCUCAGCAGAGGGACCACCCUUCCUCAGAGAAGGGGACAGAGAGGAGAACACGAGCAGAGAAGUUCGCUGGUGACAGGGCAGGAAGUGGCGGCGGCCACACUGAGGACAUCUCUUCCAAAAAACAGGAAGCAGUCGUGGCUGGGAGGCAGGGAGGCUUGCAGAAAGCACUAGGGUCUGAAAGGGCUGUGAAGGGAAAUGGGAGAAGGAGCUGACAGAGUCCACGUGAGAGGCUUUGGGAGCAGCGUCUCCCAAAAUGAAGCAACAGCAACAAAAUAUGUAACUUCUCUUUGGGAUGCAGCUGCUGACUGAGGCUGUGUGAUCUGCGCAGCAGAGGAGGGGGCUCAGCCGGUGAGGGCAAGGGCUGGCUCAGCCAGAAGCAGGAGCAGGGAGUGUGUGCACAAGGAUGGGAGACCAUGAGGACGCCAGGCCGGCAGGCAGAGGGGCAGAAACAGCAGUGCAUUGAGGAUGGGCUUCUUUUACUUGGGUGCUCUGGAAGCCCUUCCUGCUCCCUUCUCUCUGUGGCCGACCUGGAGCUCUGACGUGGUGGCUGAGGUGUGGGCCGCAUCUUGGGCCAUAAGACGAGGCUUCCACCUUAAGAAUGGGAGAACCAUGAGCAGGAAAAAGCGUGGGUCCCCGAAGACUUCAUGAAGCCAAAUUACCUGCUCGGGACGUUCUGCCUCAGAGACUUCUUUAACUUAAAAAAUAAAAUCUCGAGUGUUUGA